GAUGAACGCUGGCGGCGUGCCUAAUACAUGCAAGUCGAGCGAACAGACGAGGAGCUUGCUCCCCUGACGUUAGCGGCGGACGGGUGAGUAACACGUGGAUAACCUACCUAUAAGACUGGGAUAACUUCGGGAAACCGGAGCUAAUACCGGAUAAUAUAUUGAACCGCAUGGUUCAAUAGUGAAAGACGGUUUUGCUGUCACUUAUAGAUGGAUCCGCGCCGCAUUAGCUAGUUGGUAAGGUAACGGCUUACCAAGGCAACGAUGCGUAGCCGACCUGAGAGAGUGAUCGGCCACACUGGAACUGAGACACGGUCCAGACUCCUGCGGGAGGCAGCAGUAGGGAAUCUUCCGCAAUGGGCGAAAGCCUGACGGAGCAACGCCGCGUGAGUGAUGAAGGUCUUCGGAUCGUAAAACUCUGUUAUUAGGGAAGAACAAAUGUAUAAGUAACUAUGCACGUCUUGACGGUACCUAAUCAGAAAGCCACGGCUAACUACGUG
This 497-nucleotide ribosomal RNA is filed under the name uncultured bacterium. RNAcentral's name for it is "partial 16S ribosomal RNA". It matches the Rfam family "Bacterial small subunit ribosomal RNA", at positions 28 to 507 of the family's 1533-position model. The record is from RNAcentral.